Molecule: long non-coding RNA, 1944 nt
Organism: Neopsephotus bourkii (Bourke's parrot)
Lineage: Eukaryota; Metazoa; Chordata; Aves; Psittaciformes; Psittacidae
Exons: 7
Source: RefSeq, a predicted model, not a curated record
UGGGUGUUUUCCUCUGCCUGUUUGUUUUUGUUUCUUUCCUCCUGUGUGUUCAUUCCCAUUUGAAAGUGACCUGUAUUUACCUGCAGCACAGUCUAGACAGCUAAUGAAAUAGUAAGAGCCCAGUGGAGUUCUGCAAGAAUGUAAACAGAAAGAGUAUCAGAAAUAGGACACUUGAAAGAACAUCUCCCAAUGGCAAAGAUAAGAGCCCACGUCCUGCAUCCUGUGGCUGUGCAUUCUCAGCCACAAGAGUCACUGCAGCCCCUUUCCGGAGGGAGGCGACUUGGACAACGCCGUCCGACUGAUGCGGCUGAUCCAGCUUUACCCAAGGGAAGUGGAUGAGGUCACAAGACUGGGAAAGGACUUGUUUGCUGUCAGGAGGAUGGUGAACUUGACACGUCAAAUAGAGCUGAGUGCUGCUGUGAGGAGAGAAAGGAAAGGCAAGGUUGUGCUUGUGCCCAUUGAGUGCCACUGAAGACAACUGGCUCCUGGUGGUGCUCUGUGAAAAUCAGGCUGGUGGCGGCUCCAAUAGCAGGAGUCCUGUUCCUGAGCAGAGCCAAUGCCAGGCUGUUAAACACAGCGAAGGAAACCUUGUCGCUGUCUCAAAUUGCUUCCAAGGUCAAGUGCCAUCCUACACAACCCCCAGCACCAACUACUAGGCUUCUCCAAAAUGAAACACUUCCAAGAACCAAAGAUUUCAAAACUAAGGAAAUCUCUGCCAUAGAGCCAGAUGUGUAUUCUGCAUGGGAAGGUUAUUUAUUGAAGCAAAGAACAUGGCUGCUGCAAGCUGAUGAUCGGUGGCAUCAGUUCUGCUGGAUGCAAGAACGAAACCUGAAAUUCGUAGAAGGCAAUGAGAGUUUCCAUGGCUCCAAGGGACCUGCUGAGAAUACCUCCCAUAUUUUGGGACAGACAACAGACUCCCAAGAGAGCUUGAAAAAGCAGCUGCCACCUUUGGUUUUUAUUCUGAACUGGAUGCAGUUUCAUAAUCCCAGUCUGUUCUGCUCUAGUUUUAGGUCUGUGGCUUUGGAUAACCACCUAUAUGUGCCUAUUUUCCUUCAUUAGGUGUCAGGUAACAAACUGUUCUGAAACAGCGUGUACCAGCAUGGGAACAGCGGGGUUAGAAAUCAGUGCCAAGAUGCUCAGAUGAAUUUCUUUAUCCUCAUCCUCGCUCUGGCAAGGGUAGUUGUUGAAUUCAGCUAAUUAGAGAAGGUUGAUAGAACAAGUCUGUAAGUGUUGCAGUCGGGCUCAGCGGACACGGUGCGUGUGUACUUUCGACAUGCAAAAGAGCUUGGGGAGUUUCUGUGUGUAUGAUAUGAGGCUCUCUUUAUAUUAAGCCUUUCUUGAACAAACAUAAACCUCACGAGGGAAGUGCUUUUUAUACUUUUCCUCUCCCCAGAACCUCAAGAUAAAAUUAAAAAUGCCAGGACAUAAAUGACCACCGUUGGCUCUGUUUUGCCUGGUUACCAGCAAAAAUACUGGUAUCAGUUGGCAUGAAUUGGCAGCAUUUCAACAGCAUCCUUUGAACCAGGCCAAUCCACCAAAUGACAAUCUGGUUCCAGAUAUAUUUAUAGCCAGAAUACUCUGUGGCACAUGUUGCUGUCUUUCUGGAACCAUUUAUAGUUGCUGCAGUAUCAUUUACCACCAUUUACUCUAAUUGUGUUUCCAGGAGAGCUGUAAAUGUACCCUUUUGCUAGAGGCACUGAGCAUAAAACAGGAAAGAAAGCAGGAGGGAAGGUCAGAGCAGUAGAUGAGUCACUGCAGCAGAAAUUCAUAUCUACAGGUCAACAUUGGUUUUGUUUGGCAAUGCAGAGCUUAAGCAUCCCAACUUACUGUGGCCAUCAACCCAUGCGGAGUGACAGUGUGUGCAUGGAUUUGCUCACACAUUGCUGUCCUCUUGUUCAUGUGCUUCAGUUGUUGGAGACAUAAAGAUAGGUACAAAAGAUGAAU